Molecule: long non-coding RNA, 2394 nt
Organism: Manis javanica (Malayan pangolin)
Lineage: Eukaryota; Metazoa; Chordata; Mammalia; Pholidota; Manidae
Source: RefSeq, a predicted model, not a curated record
UCGGCUUCACUUCCCCCUUUGGCGGAGGGAAGGGUGCAGGGAAGCCUGGUAAAAACAGAGUUGAAGGGGAUAGGUUUCGGGAGCUGAGGGUUUGAAGUUCACGACUCCUACAAGGGGAGGGAAAUGAAAGUCUCUCAGUGAAGCAGGGGUCACUGAGGCGCCAUUUGUUUCCUCAUUUCCUGUACGCCUUUGCAGUGUCCAGAACCCUUCAAAUUCACUUACCAAUAAGUUCAUUAUGUAAACAGAUAAAUGUGGCUGAAAUGGGGAAGGAUGAGAGUCAUUCCAACCUGCCAAGAUCUCCUACCCCAUCUCUACUCUCCACAUAGGGGAGGUUCCAGAGAGUACUUUGAAAACCAUUAGGAAAAUUAAUUCCUUCAUAAAUGACUUGAAAUGCCAUGUCUGUAAUAUGCUACAUUAAAAUUUUUACCUAUUCAAUCACUUUUGUAUUUUUCUGCUAACCUCAUACUUUAAGGAGUCUAUAGUCUUUAUAAUAUAACAAAAGAAAUAGAAAUAUCUAGAAGUUAAAUAACAACAUGGGGUUCUUUAGGGGCUGGUAAAAUUAGCAUGUUUCUUUAAAAUUAUGUCUAUUAUUGGCAGGAGUUGGCUAAAUACCUUCAGUAUAGAGAUUAACUUCGUAAUGUACAUAUGGUUGAUAAUUUGAUAAUGUUUGUCGCCAGUUUACAAUGUUGAUAUUGUUUGAUCCACCAAAAUCACUUGCAGAAGUCAACCCUGAAGAAAUAACCAGACAAUGCAUCCUCUUAUUGCCUGCUUUCGUUCCUGCUGACUUAACACUGCCUAACCCUCUUCAGUAUUCCUGCUGAUAGGCAAAAGAAGCCACCAAUUUGCAUUUCUCUGAUUACUAAUGAGGUUGAACAUAUGCUUAUUUGUUUGUAAUCUGUAUUAUUGGUAAUCUGUAUUUCUCACUGAAUGACCUAUUUAUAUUGUUGGCCUGUUUUUUUGGGGGGGGGGUUAUUUUCUUUUUCUUAUUAAAAAAAAAACUCCUUAUUAUAUUGUGAAUAAUAAUCCUUUGUUGCCUGUGUUGUAAAUAUUUUCUCUGUGUGUCACUCAACUUUUAACUUGAUGGUUUCUCUUGCUAUAUGGAAAUUAUGUUGGUGUUUGGGGGAGAGUACAACUUUUUAUUUCAUUUAAAUUUAUUUAAAAUUAGAAACACUAGGAACUAGGAAUACAUUUCAAAAACCUACCAAAACUCCAAGUGGAAAACCUGCUUAUCUGAGCUGGGAGCAAUGCCCAGAAUCAAAGCAAAGCAUAGCCAAAGACUCCUAGGUGCCCUUCCUAGGUUUUUUAUCAGGCUAAGAAGUUCUUUCUGACUCAAAGUUCGUAAAAGAUAUUUUUAUUUAUUUUUACAAGUAGUUUUAUUGUUUAGGUUUUUUACAUUUAGGUCUCUAAACCACCUGUAAUUUAUAGGUUACUGAGCCAGUUAUCCUUGUGCUGUUUAUACUGAAUAAUCUAUCUUUCCCCACUGAUUUGAAAUGCCACCUUGAGCAUGUGUGAAAUCCCCUAAGUAGGAACCUGGGCUAUUUUAUGGACUCUGUCCCACUCCACCAAUCUAGCUGUGUUUUUCUCAUCAGUACCACACUACCCAAUUUCCUACAUAGUUUUAUAGUUCUUUUCAAGUUCAUGUGUCAUUUUGUUACAGUUGUUUUUCAAAACUUUCUUGGCUGUUUUCAAACAUUUGCUUUCCAGAUAAACUAGAGAAUCAACUUUCAAAUUUUAAAAAUUCCAUUGAGAUAUUGAUAAAAAUUGCAUUUAAUUUACAGAUCAAUAUGAGAAGAAUUGCCUUUAAAAAAUAGUAAGGCUUCUUAUCAAGCUAUGACUCUCCAUUUACGAAGAUCCAUAUAUGUCUCUCAUUAAAACAUAGUUUUUAAAAAUGAGUUUGAGUACUUCUAUUAAUUUUAUGUCUAGAUAUUUUAUAGUUAUGGUUAUUUUGAAUGGGAUAUUUUUCCAUUGUAUUUUUGAACUGGCUCCUGCUGACACAUAGCAAAACUACGAUUUUUUUGUAUUCCUUUUGCAUUUAAUAUCUGGUAUUACUAUACUUUGUUUACUCAACCUCUCCCCCAUUUCUAGGCAUUAGGUUGUUCCAAAUUUUGAUACGCCAUAAUUAGCAUUGCUAUAAACAUCUUUAAUCAAGGACGUUUUUUCCCUUUAAAUUUCUUCCUAUAAAUGGGAAAAACAGAUUAAAGGGUAUAUGUAACUUCAUAGCUCCUCAUACAUAUUGCUCUGAUGAAUCUCCUGAAGGGCUAGCACCUUUCUGAUUUGCCCAUAAUAACAUCAGCACAUAGGUAACAAUGAUGAAGAUAAUGACAAUGAGGAUAAUUUUUUUUCUUUUUUUUUUUUGAGAGGGCAUCUCAUAUUUAUCGAACAAAUGGUUGUUAA